UACGAGGGGGGCAAGCGUUGUUCGGAAUUAUUGGGCGUAAAGGGCGCGUAGGCGGUGCGGUAAGUCUGAUGUGAAAUCUCCGGGCUCAACUCGGAGUCUGCAUCAGAAACUGCCGUGCUUGAGUGUGGGAGAGGUGAGUGGGAUUCCCGGUGUAGCGGUGAAAUGCGUAGAUAUCGGGAGGAACACCUGUGGCGAAAGCGGCUCACUGGACCACAACUGACGCUGAGGCGCGAAAGCUAGGGGAGCAAACAGG
Molecule: ribosomal RNA, 253 nt
Filed under: uncultured bacterium
Lineage: Bacteria
Description: partial 16S ribosomal RNA
Rfam family: Bacterial small subunit ribosomal RNA
Source: RNAcentral